This 66-nucleotide transfer RNA is filed under the name Caeparia donskoffi. RNAcentral describes it as "tRNA-Asn". The record is from RNAcentral. Lineage: Eukaryota; Metazoa; Arthropoda; Insecta; Blattodea; Blaberidae.
UUAACUGAAACCAAAAUAGAGGUAUAUUACUGUUAAUAAUAUUAUUGAAUAAUAAUUCCAGUUAAG